This 370-nucleotide long non-coding RNA is filed under the name Ananas comosus (pineapple). RNAcentral's name for it is "long non-coding RNA (ACOM_LNC028953)". Lineage: Eukaryota; Viridiplantae; Streptophyta; Magnoliopsida; Poales; Bromeliaceae. The record is from RNAcentral.
AAAACUUUAAAAAACCCCGUGGUUCCGUAGUUUCUCACUUUGCCCCCUAUGGUUUAAAAUGUAUCAAUUUGUCUCCCUGUGGUUUUGUUUUUCUCCUUAUCAAUUUUAUUAUUUUUUUCCGUUAAAUCAGUAAUAAAGUUAAAAUUAAAGGGUACUAAAGUGAAUAUUUGAUAAAUCUAGAUGGAUAUCUGAAGUUUUUUGUAUAUAAUUUAACGAAAUAUUAACGAAAAAGCUAUCGAAAAGAUAAAAACGAAACCAUAGGGGGCAAAUUGAUACACUUUAAACCACAGGGGGGCAAAUUGAGAAACUACGAAACCACAUGGGGGUUUUUGAAGUUUUCCCUUAUAAAUAAAUAUCACAUCAAAUACAC